This is a long non-coding RNA of Pocillopora damicornis (cauliflower coral), 825 nucleotides long. NCBI's taxonomy places the organism in Eukaryota, Metazoa, Cnidaria, Anthozoa, Scleractinia, Pocilloporidae. The record is from RefSeq and is a predicted model, not a curated record.
GGAAGGAAAGCGCUUAAUCGAGGGGGGCGCUUAUUGAGUUUUCCUUUUAACGAACUGUAACUUUAAUUUGGAAAAAUCUUUAAAAGAAAAACAACAAAAAAGUUAUCCACCUGGACGUCAAGUCAUUAUGGCGAUAGAAAUGACUGGAGGUGAUUAAACGGAAAAGUAGCUAUUCUUCUUUACGCCAAAAUAUUUUAUCUUUACGCGGGAAUCAAACGGUGAAAAUGGAAGAUUUGUACCUCCGGAUGCUGCAAGACGAUCAGUACCCAGGAUACUCAGAAUAAAACUGUUAUGGCCCCCAAAUUUACGUUUAAGCUUAAUCCCAGUUCCAAGUACUGCUCAAUUUGUUUAUCCAUGACAUAAACACUUUUUCAGUGCGCCCGCGAUUGAAAAAUUGAAAAUUUGGCGGAGACAAAUUUUGCAGAGAUUUUUGGUGGAGCAAGACAAAUUUUGUCGGCUCAGUGCGCCGGGGUCCUAUGACAAAUAUGUUAUCUGUUAUUUUAUAAGGAAUAUGGAAUAAUCUGAUUGGUUCCUGGAGUGACAGUGGCUUGUCAUGGACCGGAAGUGUUCCUACAAACGAAGCUCAAUUUCAUUAUGGUCCAGUGAGACUGUGGAUCACACCUUUGAACUCUGAUAAGUAUGCCGUGUUCAAGUGUUAAAUAACAAAGCCUGUGGACAUGUCUUUAAGUACAAGCAAGGGAGCGUGCGAACACGAAAGAAUUUGUGUCAUACGAGGCUCACUCAUUAAAGAGAUUUCGUACCUUGUGGUUGGAAAUCUGGCUUGAUGCUUCUCUGGUUCAAAGAUUAAAUGAAUGUAACCGAGAA